AGAGUUUGAUCCUGGCUCAGGAUGAACGCUGGCGGCGUGCUUAACACAUGCAAGUCGAACGGUGAAGCUCCAGCUUGCUGGAGUGGAUCAGUGGCGAACGGGUGAGUAACACGUGAGCAACCUGCCCCUGACUCUGGGAUAACAGCCGGAAACGGCUGCUAAUACCGGAUAUGCACCAUGAACGCAUGUUCUGUGGUGGGAAAGAUUUUUCGGUUGGGGAUGGGCUCGCGGCCUAUCAGCUUGUUGGUGAGGUAAUGGCUCACCAAGGCGUCGACGGGUAGCCGGCCUGAGAGGGUGACCGGCCACACUGGGACUGAGACACGGCCCAGACUCCUACGGGAGGCAGCAGUGGGGAAUAUUGCACAAUGGGCGAAAGCCUGAUGCAGCAACGCCGCGUGAGGGAUGACGGCCUUCGGGUUGUAAACCUCUUUUAGCAGGGAAGAAGCGAGAGUGACGGUACCUGCAGAAAAAGCGCCGGCUAACUACGUGCCAGCAGCCGCGGUAAUACGUAGGGCGCAAGCGUUAUCCGGAAUUAUUGGGCGUAAAGAGCUCGUAGGCGGUUUGUCGCGUCUGCUGUGAAAACUGGAGGCUCAACCUCCAGCCUGCAGUGGGUACGGGCAGACUAGAGUGCGGUAGGGGAGAUUGGAAUUCCUGGUGUAGCGGUGGAAUGCGCAGAUAUCAGGAGGAACACCGAUGGCGAAGGCAGAUCUCUGGGCCGUAACUGACGCUGAGGAGCGAAAGGGUGGGGAGCGAACAGGCUUAGAUACCCUGGUAGUCCACCCCGUAAACGUUGGGAACUAGUUGUGGGGGCCUUUCCACGGUCUCCGUGACGCAGCUAACGCAUUAAGUUCCCCGCCUGGGGAGUACGGCCGCAAGGCUAAAACUCAAAGGAAUUGACGGGGACCCGCACAAGCGGCGGAGCAUGCGGAUUAAUUCGAUGCAACGCGAAGAACCUUA
RNAcentral lists this ribosomal RNA (957 nucleotides) under Bacteriophage sp. RNAcentral's name for it is "bacterial SSU rRNA". It matches the Rfam family "Bacterial small subunit ribosomal RNA", at positions 8 to 973 of the family's 1533-position model. The record is from RNAcentral.